This 253-nucleotide ribosomal RNA is filed under the name uncultured bacterium. RNAcentral's name for it is "partial 16S ribosomal RNA". It matches the Rfam family "Bacterial small subunit ribosomal RNA", at positions 524 to 776 of the family's 1533-position model. The record is from RNAcentral.
UACGUAGGGAGCAAGCGUUGUCCGGAAUUAUUGGGCGUAAAGAGCUCGUAGGCGGUUUGUCGCGUCGACUGUGAAAACCCGACGCUUAACCUCGGGCCUGCAGUCGAUACGGGCAGACUAGAGUUCGGUAGGGGAGACUGGAAUUCCUGGUGUAGCGGUGAAAUGCGCAGAUAUCAGGAGGAACACCGGUGGCGAAGGCGGGUCUCUGGGCCGAUACUGACGCUGAGGAGCGAAAGCGUGGGGAGCGAACAGG